AUGUGUGUUGAUUGUAGAGCCAUCAAUAAUAUUACAAUUCGAUAUCGUCAUCCUAUUCCUAGAUUAGAUGACAUGCUUGAUGAACUCAGUGGCUCAGUUGUGUUUUCUAAAGUGGACUUGCGUCGUGGCUACCAUCAAAUUCGUAUGAAACUAGGUGAUGAAUGGAAAACUGCUUUCAAAACUAAAUUUGGUUUAUAUGAGUGGUUAGUUAUGCCUUUUGGAUUGACUAAUGCACCUAGUACUUUCAUGAGACUAAUGAAUGAAGUUUUGCGAGCUUUUAUUGGACGAUUUGUGGUAGUAUAUUUCGAUGAUAUUUUGAUUUAUAGCAAGUCACUAGAGGAACACUUAGACCAUUUGCGUGCUGUUUUUUCUGCUCUGCGUGCUCACGUUUAUUUGGUAAUAUCGAGAAGUGCACUUUUUGCACGGAUCGAGUCGCUUUUCUUGGCUAUGUUGUGA
This 456-nucleotide ribosomal RNA is filed under the name Triticum aestivum (bread wheat). Its description in RNAcentral is "partial small subunit ribosomal RNA". Lineage: Eukaryota; Viridiplantae; Streptophyta; Magnoliopsida; Poales; Poaceae. The record is from RNAcentral.